GACGAACGCUGGCGGCGUGCCUAAUACAUGCAAGUAGAACGCUGACUACUUUAGCUUGCUAGAGUAGAAGGAGUUUCGAACGGGUGAGUAACGCGUAGGUAACCUGCCUACUAGCGGGGGAUAACUAUUGGAAACGAUAGCUAAUACCGCAUAACAGUGUUUAACACAUGUUAGAUGCUUGAAAGAUGCAAUUGCAUCACUAGUAGAUGGACCUGCGUUGUAUUAGCUAGUUGGUGGGGUAACGGCCCACCAAGGCGACGAUGCAUAGCCGACCUGAGAGGGUGAUCGGCCACACUGGGACUGAGACACGGCCCAGACUCCUACGGGAGGCAGCAGUAGGGAAUCUUCGGCAAUGGGGGCAACCCUGACCGAGCAACGCCGCGUGAGUGAAGAAGGUUUUCGGAUCGUAAAGCUCUGUUGUAAGAGAAGAACGUGUGUGAGAGUGGAAAGUUCACACAGUGACGGUAACUUACCAGAAGGGGACGGCUAACUACGUGCCAGCCGCCGCCGUAA
Molecule: ribosomal RNA, 513 nt
Filed under: uncultured bacterium
Lineage: Bacteria
Description: partial 16S ribosomal RNA
Rfam family: Bacterial small subunit ribosomal RNA
Source: RNAcentral